UGGGAAGUGGUGUAAUGGUAACACAGAUGACUCUGGAUCAUCCGUUCCUGGUUCGAGUCCAGGCUUCCCAGCCA
Molecule: transfer RNA, 74 nt
Filed under: Pseudomonadota bacterium
Lineage: Bacteria; Pseudomonadati; Pseudomonadota
Also listed under: 4 other names
Description: Proteobacteria bacterium (cold seep metagenome) tRNA-Gln
Rfam family: tRNA
About the family: Transfer RNA (tRNA) molecules are approximately 80 nucleotides in length. Their secondary structure includes four short double-helical elements and three loops (D, anti-codon, and T loops). Further hydrogen bonds mediate the characteristic L-shaped molecular structure. tRNAs have two regions of fundamental functional importance: the anti-codon, which is responsible for specific mRNA codon recognition, and the 3' end, to which the tRNAs corresponding amino acid is attached (by aminoacyl-tRNA synthetases). tRNAs cope with the degeneracy of the genetic code in two manners: having more than one tRNA (with a specific anti-codon) for a particular amino acid; and 'wobble' base-pairing, i.e. permitting non-standard base-pairing at the 3rd anti-codon position.
Source: RNAcentral